GCAUUGCUAAAUCACAAUGAGGGUAACCAUUUAUCUGUGCCGAAUGGUGGUUUAUUUUCUUGAUCUGAACCGAAUUUUAUCCCCUCUCACCUCAAUCUAUUAAAUUGCAGGGGAGUGACGACUUUUCCUCUAAUAUUCAUGCACAGUGACCAAUUUCAACUUAUGGUUUCAAGUUCUUGUGACCAUCAGGUGGAGAGGGAAAAAGGCAAAAUAGAAUGCCAUUUUACAUUUUAAAGAUUUCUCAAAAAGUUAAGGAACAGUUGGAGGGAACAAAUGAUGCUGCGAAGGAUGAUGAAGGAUUAGAAAUGCUCAAAGCUUGUGAAGAAGUUAGCUCCUGUGUUCAAGGAUCAAGCAUAAAAUUUUGCUGUGUAACUAUUCAACCUGCGAGGUAUCUACAUUCUAAUUAUAAAUCUUUUGAUUGCAGAUUAUGGUCAUUCCUGUUCUUUCACGAAUCUGUGGAAUUUUAUUUUAUUUAUUUAU
RNAcentral lists this unclassified non-coding RNA (480 nucleotides) under Hevea brasiliensis (rubber tree). Lineage: Eukaryota; Viridiplantae; Streptophyta; Magnoliopsida; Malpighiales; Euphorbiaceae. The record is from RNAcentral.